UACGUAGGGUGCGAGCGUUAAUCGGAAUUACUGGGCGUAAAGGGUGCGCAGGCGGUUCUGCAAGUCAGGCGUGAAAUCCCCGGGCUUAACCUGGGAAUGGCAUUUGGGACUGCAAGGCUGGAGUUUGGCAGAGGAGACUGGAAUUCCCGGUGUAGCAGUGAAAUGCGUAGAUAUCGGGAGGAAUACCGAUGGCGAAGGCAGGUCUCUGGGCUAUAACUGACGCUCAUGCACGAAAGCGUGGGGAGCAAACAGG
RNAcentral lists this ribosomal RNA (253 nucleotides) under uncultured bacterium. Its description in RNAcentral is "partial 16S ribosomal RNA". It matches the Rfam family "Bacterial small subunit ribosomal RNA", at positions 524 to 776 of the family's 1533-position model. The record is from RNAcentral.